RNAcentral lists this unclassified non-coding RNA (325 nucleotides) under soil metagenome. Its description in RNAcentral is "partial contains 5.8S ribosomal RNA, internal transcribed spacer 2, and large subunit ribosomal RNA". The stretch from base 1 to 120 matches the Rfam family "5.8S ribosomal RNA", at positions 35 to 154 of the family's 154-position model. The record is from RNAcentral.
GAUGAAGAACGCAGCGAAAUGCGAUAAGUAAUGUGAAUUGCAGAAUUCAGUGAAUCAUCGAAUCUUUGAACGCACAUUGCGCCCCUUGUUAUUCCGGGGGGCAUGCCUGUUCGAGCGUCAUUAUAACCCUCAAGCCUAGCUUGGUGUUGGAGCAUGCUACCUAAGCAGCUCUUAAAAUCAGUGGCAGUGCCCUUCGGCUCUAAGCGUAGUAACUUCUCUCGCUAUGGAACCCUGAGGGUACGCGCCAGAACCCCCAACUUUCUAUGGUUGACCUCGGAUCAGGUAGGGAUACCCGCUGAACUUAAGCAUAUCAAUAAGCGGAGGA